RNAcentral lists this ribosomal RNA (115 nucleotides) under Pteropus alecto (black flying fox). Lineage: Eukaryota; Metazoa; Chordata; Mammalia; Chiroptera; Pteropodidae. The record is from RNAcentral.
GUCUAUGGCCGUGCCACCCUGAACAAGCCUGAUGGCUGAUCUCAGGAGCAAAGCAAGAUCGGGCCUGUUAGUACUUGGAUGAGAGAUUACCUAGAAAGACCAGGUACUAUAGACA